Molecule: long non-coding RNA, 603 nt
Organism: Cervus hanglu yarkandensis (Yarkand deer)
Lineage: Eukaryota; Metazoa; Chordata; Mammalia; Artiodactyla; Cervidae
Source: Ensembl
UCUAAUAAUAAGUUUUUAUUGUUUUAUUGGCAAAUCUAUGUCUCAGGCAUAGUGCUGAAUAUACUGAAUUUUCACCCUUAUUUUUUUUUUAGGCCGUGCCACGCGGCAUAUGGGCUCCAGUCCCCCGACCAGGAAUCGAACCUGUGCCCCCUGAAGUGGCAGCGGGGAGCGCACUAGACCGCCACUCGAUUUUCUCCCUUAGUGAAGAAAUUCGCGCGUACUCCAGGAGCGCGCGUGUGCGACUGGGAUUUGAGGACGUCCUCUGAGGCAGGAGGUAUCUCAAUCCUGCGGAGACACCGCCCGCCCAGAGAGGGCGCUGUGACUCAACUCAGCCGCCUCCAGGGGACAGAGACGCAGGAUCGCGCCCGGAGCCUUCUGGGACUUGUAGUUCUUGGCCUCGUGGUGCGCAAGCGCACUGCUGAGUCCGUUGUGGGCGCGCGUCCCCGGGCGACAACGGCGGUGCGCGAAGGAGAGUUAGAGAAGUCGGGCAGCUUGCACCUACCUUGUGAAACAGUCCAGCACCUGCCCUGUGAAAAUACCCCUGCACGACAGGUCCGUGGGGCAAACUCGGCUGUGAGCCCUACCUGCCCAGGAACCUGCUUU